GAUGAACGCUAGCGGCAGGCCUAACACAUGCAAGUCGAGGGGUAACAGGAAAGCUUGCUUUUGCUGACGACCGGCGCACGGGUGCGUAACGCGUAUGCAACCUACCUCAUACUGGAGGAUAGCCCUUGGAAACGAGGAUUAAUACUCCAUGGUAUCAUGAAUUCGCAUGUUUUUAUGAUUAAAGGUUACGGUAUGAGAUGACUAUGCGUCCUAUUAGUUAGUUGGUAAGGUAACGGCUUACCAAGACUACGAUAGGUAGGGGCCCUGAGAGGGGGAUCCCCCACACUGGUACUGAGACACGGACCAG
This 307-nucleotide ribosomal RNA is filed under the name uncultured bacterium. RNAcentral's name for it is "bacterial SSU rRNA". It matches the Rfam family "Bacterial small subunit ribosomal RNA", at positions 28 to 334 of the family's 1533-position model. The record is from RNAcentral.